GCGGACCGCGCGGAGCUAAGUGGAAUCCCGGUUGGCUUGGGGCGCAGGCUUCCAACUUCGUACUCUGGCCUCUGGCGUCUCGGCUCGUCGGUUGGGUACCCGAACCCAGCUACUGCUGCUUGAAGAGAAGAUGGAUGGGGACUCCUCGCCGUCGCUGCGCCGCCGGCCUUCCCUGGGCGGACGUACACCUUUGCGAAGCGUCAGUGAGGACCCAGGGCCCCUCCUUGGAAUAGCUCUUAUUUCUCAAGCGCUGCAGCGUGAAGCUCGCUCUGCGGGUCCGAGAGGCCUGCGAUCUGAAGACUGAAAACUGGGAAGAGACGCUCUACCCUGUGCUCCUCGCCGGCUUCGAUAGGAGCCGCAGGUGCCUGGGAUUUUCUCAAACUUUGUCCCAAACUUCAGCUGUGGGAGUGGAGGAACAAACAGGCCUCUCCCAGAAUUGUGAAAGAGAUCGCCCUGGUGGAUGAAACAAAAACAAAUGCACUUGACUUCCACCGCCUGCCUGGCGUGUCACGCGGGUUUAAUGUAUGUGUCACAUUUAAAUUCAAAGUAUUUUCUUCUAAGGGCCUGGACACAUUUCUUUUCUCCCUGUAUCGUGAAUUGGAAAAUACCUUAGGAUAUUAAAAGUUAUCUAAGAUAACCCCCUUUCUUCUGUAAGUUAAAUACUAAACGGCUUAAGACGAAAUUUUGGAAUAUAGAGAUGAUGAUGCAGACUGCAGUGAAUUAUCAAAUAUGCAUCUCACUGUUCUCCACAUUAAACAUAUUUUUGUUGCGUAAAUUCAUGUUAAGACGUCUAUAACAAUUACACUUUGGUAAAAUUGUUGGAUGUUAACAUCUCUGAUAGCUCCCAAUAGAAAUCUCUGAUGUACUAACCAGACUGGUAAACCAUUAUCAUGCACUUUGAAAAUAUAAUAAAAUAUUAUAAUUAAAGCUGCCAUUAAU
This 939-nucleotide long non-coding RNA is filed under the name Homo sapiens (human). Its description in RNAcentral is "HSALNT0343092". The record is from RNAcentral. Lineage: Eukaryota; Metazoa; Chordata; Mammalia; Primates; Hominidae.